This 331-nucleotide long non-coding RNA is filed under the name Sorghum bicolor (sorghum). RNAcentral's name for it is "long non-coding RNA (SBIC_LNC001402)". The record is from RNAcentral. Lineage: Eukaryota; Viridiplantae; Streptophyta; Magnoliopsida; Poales; Poaceae.
CAGGUGCCUGUCGAAGGACGACGCGGAGAGGAGUCCCCUGUUCUCCUCGGCGCGCCUGAUGAGGUAGGGGAUGAUCUGCUCCACGGGCCCGUACGGCAGGUACUUGCUCACCUGGAACCCGGCGUUGCGGAGGCUCAGCGACAGCCCGUCCGCCAUGCCCAUCAGCUGCGCGAACUGCAGGUUCCGGUCUCCCCUGGGGAUCCCGAGCUCCUGCGCGCGCGCCGCCGCCAGCUUCCCGGACUCCACGUUGUGGGUGGCGAGCAUCACGGAGGCGGUGCCCCGGCGGACGCGGUCCAGGAGGAAACCCGCGCAGCCGUUGUAGCAGUCGUGG